This 393-nucleotide ribosomal RNA is filed under the name uncultured bacterium. RNAcentral's name for it is "partial 16S ribosomal RNA". It matches the Rfam family "Bacterial small subunit ribosomal RNA", at positions 523 to 918 of the family's 1533-position model. The record is from RNAcentral.
AUACGGAGGAUCCGAGCGUUAUCCGGAUUUAUUGGGUUUAAAGGGAGCGUAGGCGGACGCUUAAGUCAGUUGUGAAAGUUUGCGGCUCAACCGUAAAAUUGCAGUUGAUACUGGGUGUCUUGAGUACAGUAGAGGCAGGCGGAAUUCGUGGUGUAGCGGUGAAAGGCUUAGAUAUCACGAAGAACUCCGAUUGCGAAGGCAGCCUGCUGGACUGUAACUGACGCUGAUGCUCGAAAGUGUGGGUAUCAAACAGGAUUAGAUACCCUGGUAGUCCACACAGUAAACGAUGAAUACUCGCUGUUUGCGAUAUACAGUAAGCGGCCAAGCGAAAGCGUUAAGUAUUCCACCUGGGGAGUACGCCGGCAACGGUGAAACUCAAAUGAAUUGACGGGG